AACGCUAGCGAAGUGCUUAACGCAUGCAAGUCGAGCGAGGCUUCGAGCCGAGCGGCAGACGGGCGAGUAACACGUGCUUAAUAUGCCCUGGAGCGGGGAACAACUGGGGAAACCCAGCUAAUUCCCUAUACGCUUUUUAGACUGAAAUGUCUAAUCAGGAAAGGAGCAAUCCACUCUGGGAGUAGGGCGCGGUCCAUCAGUUUGUUGGUGAGGUAACGGCUCACCAAGACUAUGACGGAUAGCCGGACUGAGAGGUUGACCGGCCGCAAUGGAACUGAGACACGGUCCAUACCCCUACGGGGGGCAGCAGCCAGGAAUAUUGCACAAUGGAGGAAACUCUGAUGCAGCGACUUCGCGUGGAGGAUAAGCCCUAAGGGGUGUAAACUUCUUUUCUGGGGGAAGACGAAUGACGGUACCCCAGGAAUAAGGGACGGCUAACUACGUGCCAGCAGCCGCGGUAAUACGUAGGUCCCGAGUGUUAUCCGGAGUUACUGGGCGUAAAGAGUCCGUAGCCUGUUAUAUAAGUCUGCUUUCAAAGACUGUGGCUUAACCAUAGGAAGGGGGCAGAUACUGUAUAGCUGGAGUUAUAUAGAGGUUAGUGGAAUUUCCGGUGGAGGGGUGAAAUCCGUUGAUAUCGGAAGGAAUGCCGAAAGCGAAAGCAGCUGACUAUAUAUAUACUGACGGUAAAGGACGAAAGCUUGGGUAGCAAACAGGAUUAGAUACCCUGGUAGUCCAAGCUGUAAAUUAUGCUCGCUAGAUGUUGGGAUUUACUCUCAGUGUCGUAACCAAAUGGGUUAAGCGAGCCGCCUGGGGAGUAUAGUUGCAAGACUGAAACUCAAAGGGAUAGGCGGGGGAACACACAAGCGGUGGAUUGCCUCGAUUAAUGGGAUAAUAAGCCCAGAAUCUUACCUAGACUUGACAUGUAGUGUGUCGUAUGUGAAAGCAUAUUAGCCCAGCUUGCUGGGUACGCUACACAGGUGCUGCAUGGCCGUCGUCAGCUCGUGCCGCAAGGUGUCCGGUUAAGUCCGGAAACGAGCGCAACCCUCAUUUAUAGUUAGUAUGUCUAUAAAGACUGCUGGGGCAACCCGGAGGAAGGAGAGGACGACGUCAGGUCGUUAUGGCCCUUAUGUCUAGGGCGUCAGAGGCAAUACAAUGGGUAGUACAGAGGGAAGCAAUAUCGCGAGAUUGAGCAAACCCCAUAAAGCUAUCCUUAGUUCGGAUUGUAGUCUGGAACUCGACUACAUGAAGUUGGAAUCGCUAGUAAUGGCAGAUCAGCCACGCUGCCGUGAAUAUGUCCCUGUUCCUUGCACUCACCGCCCGUCAUACC
RNAcentral lists this ribosomal RNA (1327 nucleotides) under uncultured organism. RNAcentral's name for it is "bacterial SSU rRNA". It matches the Rfam family "Bacterial small subunit ribosomal RNA", at positions 32 to 1403 of the family's 1533-position model. The record is from RNAcentral.